Spea bombifrons (plains spadefoot toad) is the source of this 83-nucleotide non-coding RNA. The record is from the annotation of a RefSeq genome assembly. NCBI's taxonomy places the organism in Eukaryota, Metazoa, Chordata, Amphibia, Anura, Pelobatidae.
GUCAGGAUGGCCGAGCGGUCUAAGGCGCUGCGUUCAGGUCGCAGUGUCCUCUGGAGGCGUGGGUUCAAAUCCCACUUCUGACA